GCUAAAGUAUAAAAAGAGCAUUUGGUGAAUGCCUUGGCGACAGGAGGCGAUGAAAGACGUGAUAGGCUGCGAUAAGCUACGGGGAAGUGCCAAUAACUUUUGAUCCGUAGAUGUCUGAAUGGGGAAACCCACUGAAUUUAUUCAGUAUCUUUGAGUGAAUAAAUAGCUUAAAGAAGCGAACCUAGGGAACUGAAAUAUCUAAGUACCUAGAGGAAAGGAAAUCAACCGAGACUCCGCUAGUAGUGACGAGCGAACGCGGACUAGGCCAGUAUCUUUAUCAUAAAAACUAGAAUAUUCUGGAAAGGAUAGCUAUAAAGGGUGAUAGCCCCGUAUAGGUAAAAAGUGAUGAAGAUCUCGAGUAGGGCGGGGCACGUGAAACCUUGUCUGAAUAUGGGGAGACCACUCUCCAAGCCUAAGUACUACCUGACGACCGAUAGUGAACAAGUACUGUGAAGGAAAGGUAAAAAGAACCCCGAUAAGGGGAGUGAAAUAGAACCUGAAACCAAAUGCUUACAAGCAGUCGGAGCAGCCUUUCUCGCAAGAGAAUGUGUUGUGACGGCGUACCUCUUGUAUAAUGGGUCAGCGACUUAGUGUAUCUAGCAAGGUUAAGCCGAUAGGUGUAGCCGUAGUGAAAGCGAGCCUUAAUAGGGCGUUAAGUUAGGUGCAUUAGACCCGAAACCGGGUGAUCUAGUUAUGAGCAGGCUGAAGUUAGGGUGAAACCUAACGGAGGGCCGAACCCAUCACUGUUGCAAAAGUGAGGGAUGACUUGUGACUAGGGGUGAAAGGCCAAUCAAACUCGGAAAUAGCUGGUUCUCCGCGAAAUCUAUUUAGGUAGAGCGUUGUCUAUUACCAUCGGGGGUAGAGCACUGGAUCGGCUAGGGGGGCCCAAAGCCCUACCAAACCUAACCAAACUCCGAAUACCGAUGAGUAGAGGACAGCAGGCAGGCUGUGGGUGAUAAGAUCCAUGGCCGAGAGGGAAACAGCCCAGACCGCCGUCUAAGGUCCCCAAAUUAUGGUUAAGUGUUAAAGGAUGUGGGAAUGCCAAAACAACUAGGAGGUUAGCUUAGAAGCAGCUAUCCUUUAAAGAAAGCGUAACAGCUCACUAGUCUAAUAGCGAUCCUGCGCCGAAAAUGUAACGGGGCUAAAACCAUAUACCGAAGACGCGGGUUUAUAUUCUUUAGAAUAUAAGCGGUAGCGGAGCGUUGUGUAAGCCUGUGAAGGUGUGUCGUAAGGCAUGCUGGAGGUAUCACAAGUGAGAAUGCUGACAUGAGUAGCGUAAAAAAAUGUAAGAAACAUUUUCGCCGAAAGUCCAAGGGUUCCUACGUAAAGUUAAUCUGCGUAGGGUUAGCCGGCCCCUAAGGCGAGGCCGAAAGGCGUAGUCGAUGGGAACCACGUUAAUAUUCGUGGGCCUGCUGGAAGUGACGAAGGCUGAAAGUUGUACUGGGUGAUUGGAUUCCAUGGUGCAACCUAAGACUUCCAGGAAAUAACUCCAGCGUAUAAGACCGUACCCCAAACCGACACUGGUGGACUGGUAGAGUAUACCAAGGCGUAGAGAGAAUGAUGUUGAAGGAACUAGACAAAUUGCAUCCGUAACUUCGGGAUAAGGAUGGCCUUACUUAGGCAACUAAGAUAAGGUGGCACAUAGCAGGGGGUAGCGACUGUUUAUCAAAAACACAAGACUAUGCAAACUCGUAAGAGGAAGUAUAUGGUCUGACGCCUGCCCGGUGCUGGAAGGUUAAGGUGAGGUGUGCAAGCACUGAGCUGAAGCCCCAGUAAACGGCGGCCGUAACUAUGACGGUCCUAAGGUAGCGAAAUUCCUUGUCGGGUAAGUUCCGACCUGCAUGAAUGGCGUAACGACUUCCCCAUUGUCUCCAACAUUAACUCAGCGAAAUUGAAAUCUCCGUGAAGAUGCGGAGUGCCCGCGGUUAGACGGAAAGACCCCGUGAACCUUUACUAUAACUUUGCAGUGGUGUUAGGGGUUUGAUGUGUAGGAUAGGUGGGAGACUAUGAAGCGAUGGCGCUAGCUGUCGUGGAGUCGCCCUUGAAAUACCACCCUUCAAACUUUUGACAUCUAACCAAACCUCUUGAAUCAGGGGUUGGGACCCUGCAUGGUGGGUAGUUUGACUGGGGCGGUCGCCUCCCAAAGCGUAACGGAGGCGUGCGAAGGUAAGCUCAGGUUGGUCGGAAAUCAACUGUUAGAGUGCAAUGGCAUAAGCUUGCCUGACUGCGAGACUGACAAGUCGAGCAGAGACGAAAGUCGGUCAUAGUGAUCUGGUGGUUCUGUGUGGAAGGGCCAUCACUCAACGGAUAAAAGGUACUCCGGGGAUAACAGGCUGAUGAGCUCCAAGCGUCCAUAGCGACGAGCUCGUUUGGCACCUCGAUGUCGACUCAUCACAUCCUGGGGCUGGAGAAGGUCCCAAGGGUUCGGCUGUUCGCCGAUUAAAGUGGUACGUGAGUUGGGUUCAGAACGUCGUGAGACAGUUUGGUCCCUAUCUGCCGUGGGUGUAAGGAAAAUUGAGAGAAUCUGACUUUAGUACGAGAGGACCGAGUUGGACGUACCACUGGUGUACCAGUUGUUCUGCCAAGAGCAACGCUGGGUAGCUAUGUACGGAAGGGAUAACCGCUGAAAGCAUCUAAGUGGGAAACCCAUCUCAAAACUAAUUUUCCCAACUAGUGCCGUCAAAGACCAUGACGUUGAUAGGUCGGGUGUGUAAGUGGAGCAAUCCAUUGAGCUAACCGAUACUAAUAGCACGAUUGACUUUAGCUG
Molecule: ribosomal RNA, 2767 nt
Rfam family: Bacterial large subunit ribosomal RNA
Source: Rfam